Non-coding RNA from Mycena crocata, 92 nucleotides. Lineage: Eukaryota; Fungi; Basidiomycota; Agaricomycetes; Agaricales; Mycenaceae. The record is from the annotation of a GenBank genome assembly.
UCGGACGUGGUGCAUGGCGCACACCCGUGUCAAGUGGGAGAAGUGAGGACAAGUGAAAGCGGGAGAACCGGGUUCGAUUCCCGGCGUUCGAA